Antechinus flavipes (yellow-footed antechinus) is the source of this 577-nucleotide long non-coding RNA. RefSeq lists it as uncharacterized. The record is from RefSeq and is a predicted model, not a curated record. Lineage: Eukaryota; Metazoa; Chordata; Mammalia; Dasyuromorphia; Dasyuridae. The transcript is spliced from 2 exons.
CUUUGUCUAUGAAGUAAUAGAGGCUCAGCAAGGGUAAGAAUGACCAGCCUUUUGUACUCCUCAGUAACCACAAAAUUAAGACCAUAGUUAUGGAUCCAGAGAAGCUGGGAUAACCCAGAGCCUUGAAGACAGCUUCAGAAAACCUGGCAUGUUUCAUAAUUAAAAGAAGAAACCUGGAGAUCCCUCCCCCAUGCCUUUACAGACAAACCCAGGAUUCCAUUUAUAAUGACUUAACAAUUAAUCAUUCUCAAAAAAGAAGAAAAAGUAGAAAAUUUCUUUUCCUUUCUUUCCCUCAUUUGACAAGAGACUUACUGAAACAGCUUGACAAGGAUUAAGAUAUUCGAGAAACAAGGAACAUAUGAAAGGAAGUAACGAAUCUUCUUCAGAAUCCUGCCAUACCUUUCAGAUCAGCAGGCUUUCUGCAACCUUUUGAAGUUAUAAUCUUGAAACACUAGAUCCACGGUUCACGUGGACACUUGGGAAAUUCAGUCUGAGGAAAAACUAUACACAUGCUUGUGCACACAUAUACCCCCACUACUAUUGACAAAUAAAUUACGAUGGUUCUUUGUCAAACAUU